GACGAACGCUGGCGGCGUGCUUAACACAUGCAAGUCGAACGGAAAGGCCCUGCUUUUGUGGGGUGCUCGAGUGGCGAACGGGUGAGUAACACGUGAGUAACCUGCCCUUGACUUUGGGAUAACUUCAGGAAACUGGGGCUAAUACCGGAUAGGAGCUCCUGCUGCAUGGUGGGGGUUGGAAAGUUUCGGCGGUUGGGGAUGGACUCGCGGCUUAUCAGCUUGUUGGUGGGGUAGUGGCUUACCCAGGCUUUGACGGGUAGCCGGCCUGAGAGGGUGACCGGCCACAUUGGGACUGAGAUACGGCGCAGACUCCUACGUGAGGCAGCAGUGGGAAAUAUUGCACAAUGGGCGGAAGCCUGAGGCAGCAACGCCACGUGCGGGAUGACGGCCUUCGGGUUGUAAACCGCUUUCGCCUGUGACGAAGCGUGAGUGACGGUAAUGGGUAAAGAAGCACCGGCUAACUACGUG
RNAcentral lists this ribosomal RNA (468 nucleotides) under uncultured bacterium. RNAcentral's name for it is "partial 16S ribosomal RNA". It matches the Rfam family "Bacterial small subunit ribosomal RNA", at positions 28 to 507 of the family's 1533-position model. The record is from RNAcentral.